GUGAACCAAUGGCAAAAAGGAAGACCUUUCUCUCUGUCUCUCUCUCUCUCACACACUAUCCACUCUGCCUGUAAAAAAAAAAAAAAAGAACUUUUUGGCAUCGUGCUAGAAUUUUCCAUCUGCUACCAGUCUUUGUUCUGGCCUAGCUAAGUACCUGUCCAGAUGUUGCCCAAAUAGAUACGUACAUCAGUGUAUAGAUAAAUUCUCCAAACCAACUAAACUGUUUGCUGUCAUACUACAACACUUAUUGAGGAGCCCUUGCAGACAACAAAUAUAAUUUGUGUUCAGGCCAAAGGGAAAGUGUGUGGAGCACGACUGCAUAACGCACCUGCCCAGACGGCGGACGGAGGCCAGGGUGCCCUCAGUGGCCUUCCUCUCAGGCGCUCCGUCCAGAAGGUCAGAUGCGGAUGGAGAUGGGACAUCAAGAGUGUGCAGAGAGACGUCUUACAGAGCUCUGCAGGAGAAAGAAGAGACGUGUUGGAAAACACAACAUCACGUGUUCCGAUGCGCUGUGGAUAUUCAGAUUGUCGAUGCCCAUACGUAUCUUUGCUAUUGUAAAUCUGUCACUUCUAGAUAAUCUGAUGGUUGACUGUCAGCAAAGUUUUGUCUACCUCUAAAGUAAAAUCUGCCUGCCUGCCAAGUUAAUGAAGAUGAUCCGUCUUCCCUACCGUUACCUUUUUCCUAUCCUAUUGGUGGAAAUAGGAAGGUUUCCAGAUCAAGGUUAAGCACUGAAUUUUUAAAAAAUUUUUAUUUGAGAGAGAGAGAGAGAAGGAAUUCUCAUCUGCCGAAUCACCCCCCAGAUGCCCACAAAGGCUGGGCCUGGCUGAAGCUGAGAGCUAGGAACUCAAUCCAGGUCUCCAAUGCGUGGCUGGAAUCUAAUUACUUAAGUCAAUGCUGCUGCCUCCCAGAAUCCACAUCAUCAGGAAGCUGCAGUCAAGAGUCAGACAUGGGGCCAGCACCGUGGCUCACUUGGCUAAUCCUCUGCCUGCGGCACUAGCAUUCCAGGUUCUAGUCCCGGUUGGGGCACCGGAUACUAGUCUCAGUUGCUCCUCUUCCAGUCCAGCUCUCUGCUGUGUCCCAGGAGGGCAGUAGAGGAUGGCCCAAGUGCUUGGGUCCCUGUACCUGCAUGGGAGACAGGGAGGAAGCACCUGGCUCCUGGCUUCGGAUCUGUGCAGCGCCGGCUGUAGCGGCCAUUAGAGGAGUGAACCAACAGAAGGAAGACCUUUCUCUCUGUCUCUCUCUCACUGUCUAUAACUCUACCUGUCAAAAAAAAAAGUCAGACAUGGGAGCAAGCCCAGGCACCGUGGAAUGUGCCCACACUACUCAUAAGUGUUGAAUUUUUCAAAUUCUUAAAAUGUACUUAUUUUUCAUUUUACUUUUAAAAGGCAGACAGAUAGAUAGACAGAGCUUGGAGAACUUUUAUCUGAUGGUUCACUCGCCAAAUGAUCAUAGCAUGUGAGGAUGUGCCAGGCUAAAGCCAGGAGCCAGGAACCUAAUCACGGUUUCCCACUCGGAUGACAGGGACCCAACUAACUUGAGCCAUUACUUGCUGCCUCCCAGGAUCUGCAUUAGCAGGAGGGUGGAUCAGAAGCAAAGUCAAGACUUGGACCAGGCAUCUUAACCACUAGGCCAAAUGCCUGCCUCUUCUCCCCAUACCCCACCACCACUAUCCAGGCUUAACUCAGAGGCAGCAUUCCUAUGGGACUUACUCGACAUUCACUAGUUAGGAUCUCAUUAGUGGUCUAGUAUGAUACAAUUAAUGAUCCGGGAGUGAAGCUGGGACAUUAACCCUUGACCACCCAUUUCCUGGGUUAGUAUUUAUCUGUGUUCAUUUGUAGCACUAGGAGAUUGAGGGCUCCGUCUCUUGAAGCCAUGGCUCCUACAGGAAAUUUUUGAAGAGAAUCAGUUUAGAGAGAGAGUUUCACGUGGUCAGAUUGCUUAGUUAAUGAACCCUACCUGCAUCGGUUGCUAAAGCAACACAUGAUUUGAUUAAUUAGGUUGGAAUUGUAUCGUCAUGCACAAAGGUAUCACAUUUCUACCACGCCCCACUGCGGGUGUCAGCUUUUUCUGGGCAUAAUUAUGCCAUGAAGAUUAGCUGCCCAUCUGCUGUUCACCAGGAAAACUGCCAUCGCAAUCUAUAUCAGCAAUAAACUGUUAGAGGGGUUGGUGAGAAACUUAUUAUAACUCCGAUCUUGCUUGUAUUGAGAAUAAAA
Long non-coding RNA from Lepus europaeus (European hare), 2213 nucleotides. RefSeq lists it as uncharacterized. The transcript is spliced from 3 exons. Lineage: Eukaryota; Metazoa; Chordata; Mammalia; Lagomorpha; Leporidae. The record is from RefSeq and is a predicted model, not a curated record.